Molecule: unclassified non-coding RNA, 283 nt
Filed under: Hevea brasiliensis (rubber tree)
Lineage: Eukaryota; Viridiplantae; Streptophyta; Magnoliopsida; Malpighiales; Euphorbiaceae
Source: RNAcentral
CCCUACUUUCACUUAAAAACCUUCUACGGCAUGUUCUUGUUGUAGCGGGUGGGAGACUGUAGAACAAACACACCCGAAAAUGAACCUUGCAGUCCCUCACNGCAGUCCCUCACAAACCGAAUCCACUUCUCUAUCCUUCAACACUACUGGUCCAAACUAGUCAAAAUCCUAUUUUUUUACAGUUUACCCCGAGGUGCAAACCCAGAGUUUCCCGACAAAAACCCAUUUUUAGAAUCUAUUCCUCUGCUAAUCCAAAUGGCUCUGAUGGGUUGUCUUGGCCUAG